AGCGUUGCUUCGGUUUGUCAGUUCAAGCAAGAAAACGUCCUUACCGAAGAGAUCUGGGUGCUAAAACAAACUCUGGAGCUCUUUUUUUCUGUUGAACACGAGUGAGACGACUCUGAACACACCUGCGGCGUGAAGGUUUACUUGUUCAGCUGCUGCAGCCUGGACAGAAACACCACAUUCCUAAAGGUGUGAUGAUUUUUCACCACUUUGUCCAUGAUCACAGAGAGUCUUCGUACAGUGAAGUAGUUCUCUGAAACCAGGACUGAGGCCUCCAGGUUUACUUGUUCAGCUGCUGCAGCCUGGACAGAAACACCACAUUCCUAAAGGUGUGAUGAUUUUUCACCACUUUGUCCAUGAUCACAGAGAGUCUUCGUACAGUGAAGUAGUU
Molecule: long non-coding RNA, 388 nt
Organism: Lates calcarifer (barramundi perch)
Lineage: Eukaryota; Metazoa; Chordata; Actinopteri; Centropomidae
Exons: 3
Source: RefSeq, a predicted model, not a curated record